GACGAACGCUGGCGGCGCGCCUAACACAUGCAAGUCGAACGAGCGAGAGAGAGCUUGCUUUCUCGAGCGAGUGGCGAACGGGUGAGUAACGCGUGAGGAACCUGCCUCAAAGAGGGGGACAACAGUUGGAAACGACUGCUAAUACCGCAUAAGCCCACGGCUCGGCAUCGAGCAGGGGGAAAAGGAGCGAUCCGCUUUGAGAUGGCCUCGCGUCCGAUUAGCUAGUUGGUGGGGUAACGGCCCACCAAGGCGACGAUCGGUAGCCGGACUGAGAGGUUGAACGGCCACAUUGGGACUGAGACACGGCCCAGACUCCUACGGGAGGCAGCAGUGGGGAAUAUUGCACAAUGGGGGAAACCCUGAUGCAGCGACGCCGCGUGGAGGAAGAAGGUCUUCGGAUUGUAAACUCCUGUUGUUGGGGAAGAUAAUGACGGUACCCAACAAGGAAGUGACGGCUAACUACGUG
RNAcentral lists this ribosomal RNA (466 nucleotides) under uncultured bacterium. RNAcentral describes it as "partial 16S ribosomal RNA". It matches the Rfam family "Bacterial small subunit ribosomal RNA", at positions 28 to 507 of the family's 1533-position model. The record is from RNAcentral.